UGGGGAAUAUUGGACAAUGGGCGAAAUCCUGAUCCAGCCAUGCCGCGUGUGUGAAGAAGGUCUUCGGAUUGUAAAGCACUUUAAGUUGGGAGGAAGGGCAGUAAGCGAAUACCUUGCUGUUUUGACGUUACCGACAGAAUAAGCACCGGCUAACUCUGUGCCAGCAGCCGCGGUAAUACAGAGGGUGCAAGCGUUAAUCGGAAUUACUGGGCGUAAAGCGCGCGUAGGUGGUUCGUUAAGUUGAAUGUGAAAGCCCCGGGCUCAACCUGGGAACUGCAUCCAAAACUGGCGAGCUAGAGUAGGGCAGAGGGUGGUGGAAUUUCCUGUGUAGCGGUGAAAUGCGUAGAUAUAGGAAGGAACACCAGUGGCGAAGGCGACCACCUGGGCUCAUACUGACACUGAGGUGCGAAAGCGUGGGGAGCAAACAGG
RNAcentral lists this ribosomal RNA (429 nucleotides) under Pseudomonadota bacterium. RNAcentral describes it as "Proteobacteria bacterium partial 16S ribosomal RNA". It matches the Rfam family "Bacterial small subunit ribosomal RNA", at positions 355 to 776 of the family's 1533-position model. The record is from RNAcentral. Lineage: Bacteria; Pseudomonadati; Pseudomonadota.